This 169-nucleotide ribosomal RNA is filed under the name uncultured Clostridium sp. RNAcentral's name for it is "partial 16S ribosomal RNA". It matches the Rfam family "Bacterial small subunit ribosomal RNA", at positions 338 to 524 of the family's 1533-position model. The record is from RNAcentral. Lineage: Bacteria; Bacillati; Bacillota; Clostridia; Eubacteriales; Clostridiaceae.
CCUACGGGAGGCAGCAGUGGGGAAUAUUGCACAAUGGGCGAAAGCCUGAUGCAGCAACGCCGCGUGAGUGGUGAAGGCCUUCGGGUUGUAAAGCUCUGUCUUUUGGGACGAUAAUGACGGUACCAAAGGAGGAAGCCACGGCUAACUACGUGCCAGCAGCCGCGGUAAU